CGCUCUCCCGCCGAGAGGCUCCGAGCCCGGCCGCGCUCGCCGGUCCCGCCUCUACCCAGCAAUGUGAAGAGUCAGCAAGUUCCCAGCGGCCGCUGAAACCCUCUGCGUCUCCGGGGUCCGUAGUGCGCCGGCGCAGCCUGGCCGGGGCGGCGCGGAGCAUGCUGGGAGCUGUAGUUCUAGCGCCKCUGCGUCCCGCCCGCGGCGCCUGGCCCGGCGCCGGCAGCUGCACUACGACUCCCGGUAUCCCCCGCGCCGCGCCGCGAGGAGCCGAGUUGAAGCGGGUGGCGGCGGAGCGCACCCCCUCCCCCCCGCCAAAAAGCCCCAAACCAAAACAAAAACAAACCACCCCCCCCCCUCAAAACCCCGGAAAUGGCGGUGCCGGGAGGGGGCUGCGAGUGCCGGGGGUGCUGAUCCGGCCGCCCGCUGCCGCGUCCCCCCCCCUUCCCCGUCCCUCCCCGCCCAUGGGCGAGACAUGGACUACGAGUUCAAAUCCAAGCUGGCGGCCGAGCGCGAGCGGGUGGAGGAUCUGUUCGAGUACGAGGGCUGCAAAGUGGGCAGAGGCACCUACGGGCACGUCUACAAGGCCCGCCGCAAGGACGGAUUCCAGAAGGGCUUCGUGUAUGGACUUCAAACCUUGGAGAUAGCGGAGUAUUCGGCAGAAGGAAAGAUGAAAAGGAAUAUGCACUGAAGCAAAUUGAAGGUACAGGGAUAUCCAUGUCGGCCUGUAGAGAGAUUGCAGUAAGUGUACAUAAAUGAAAGAAAGUGUUUUUACUGACAUUAUAAUUCAACAGAUAAUAUAUUUUUAUUCUCUGAAUUAAAUAACGCAAAGCUUAUCUAAAUGUUUUCCUUGAAGUAUGCAAGCGUGAAAGUUAUUCAAACAUGAGCUUUCCUUAAA
This 895-nucleotide long non-coding RNA is filed under the name Apteryx rowi (Okarito brown kiwi). RNAcentral describes it as "lncRNA (ENSARWG00000009690.1)". The record is from RNAcentral. Lineage: Eukaryota; Metazoa; Chordata; Aves; Apterygiformes; Apterygidae.